GCAGGGCUCAUUGCCGAGUUCCUGAGGAGAAGGCGCAGUCACCGACCGUCCUCGGCUGCUCUCCGGGAGGCGCUCGCCGAGCCGGUCAAAGUGGCCCUUCCUCGGCGAGGGGCAGUAGUCCCAGCUGGCUGUGAAGGCACAAAGCGGCAGCCUCCAUUCUUAACACCUCCUGUUGAAACCUGAAGGGUCCCAGUGGACAACAGGUUGCUGUGAAGGGCCGUGAGAGUUACCAGUGAACCCAAUGGGAACUCAUGUUUAUAUGUCACCUAUAAAGCAUGUGUUUGGGGAGUUUUGAGGGACACUACCAAGAGUGGUGAACCCCCUUCCCCGAGGAAUAGCUCUGCCUUUGCUGUCUGUGGACCCAGGUCUCACCUCCAUGGCCUGGGCAGAUGCCUUCCAGAAAGCUCUACCUGCCUUCCCUCAAGGCAGCCUGCUCCAGGGAAAGUCAGCUCAAGGCUGACCAAGCUUUUCACACGGGUUUUGUAAGGCUGUAGGAGAAACCAGAGUGUGGGGUAAGAAACAGUGGAAUCGUUAUCUAAACCCCAAAUAGCAUGGUACUAACUCCUACUUCUGUCUCAUGUUCAGGACUGAGGAACCCUGCAUGCCCCAGUGGUGGGGGAUGUAGUCAGGAGGCAAGGGAGGAGCGUAUCACCUCAUCUGCUUACAACAAGCCCAGGCCAUCUGGCAUGGGACGGGUAUGGGCAUAGAGCAUAUGAAUCACCCUGGACGUGUAGAAGUUCUGUGAAGAAGAGCUGUUUGUGUCAGAGGUGCUUUAAUGUAUUAAAGCAUUGGGACUACUACCAUCUUGUAAUAAUGACUGGCAUUCCCUGUUCUUUAAGGCUGGGAUGGAAAGAAUGUACCCAAAGAACAGAAUGAAUCCUUGGAUUUUCAGUUCUGGAGGUGAUCUUGGCUCCACAAAUCUGUACAAAAAUUAUAAUACAGGACAGUCAAUUGCUUCUGUGUUUGUGUGGCAGUGGACAAAAGGAGCCUUCAUACCUACCCUGAUAGGCUUUUUUUUGUGAAAAAAAUCACAAAAAUGUGAAAAAAAAUCACAGAAAUGUGGUGUGAUAUAAGAAAAUGCUCUUAGUGUUAUUUCUGAUGUUCUAAAUGAAAAAUAAAACCUGAGUGUUUUACAUUAAAAAAACCAACACAUCAGAACUAUGUUUGCAACUGAGGUCAUCGAGCAGUAUUAGAUUUGAGGAUUCUGAGUAAGAUUUUACACUUAUAUUCAUUUUAAAACUGGCUUAGCAAUGGCAUUAUAUGCAUUUUACACUGUUCUGAAGCAUGAACAUUGUCUGAAACUAGUAAAACAUAGGGGAAGAUUUUGUGAGGUUAAAAAGGCAGAGGAGACCUAGCAAGAGGAUUUGUUCUUUGAUCCAAGAGAUAAGAGACCAGACUUGCACAGACACUGAGCCCUUGGCUCCCACUGGAGAUCUGUAUACCCAGCAUCUCAGUCUACCGGGCUUGGAAUAACUCGGAAAUCUGGAUGGCAGCCAACACAAGACAUUUUUAUUUGAAGCAGUCUAUGUUUUUAAUUUGGUAAUGAUUUCCUCUAUAUGUAUAUUUAAAAAAAAUCCUAGGCAGUUCUGUGAAGUGCACAUGCUUCUCAUUGUCGGGGUGAGGGUACUGAUUGUGGUGCUGAAAGAACUGUGGUGAGGAAAGAGUUUCAGCUGAUGUCUCCUGGCAUUCUCAACCUUUAUCAAAUACGGGAGCUCUGCGAGUUAGAUGUGCGCUCACGUGGGUAAGUACGCUUUGGACAGGAGGAUAAACAUGGGCUCUGGUGUGAGAAAUACACGUCAGAGAAUGAUAAAGAAACUAUUAUGUAAAGGUGAAAGUCAGAUCAAGAUAGUAAUUAACGUUGCAAUACAUUUAUUUCUUCAAACAAUGGGAUUCUUAACUGCAUCUUAGCUUUGGGACAAGUCCUGCACAUUCCUACAAAGACACCAGUGGAAGCUGCCAUUUCCUUGAAUUUCAGGUGAACUUCUGUUUUGAGUGGGAAAUCAACCACCCUAAUAAAGCUUAAGACUUUUCUCAUCA
Molecule: long non-coding RNA, 2037 nt
Organism: Pogoniulus pusillus (Red-fronted tinkerbird)
Lineage: Eukaryota; Metazoa; Chordata; Aves; Piciformes; Lybiidae
Exons: 2
Source: RefSeq, a predicted model, not a curated record